GACGAACGCUGGCGGCGUGCUUAACACAUGCAAGUCGAGCGAUGAAGUUCCUUCGGGGACGGAUUAGCGGCGGACGGGUGAGUAACACGUGGGUAACCUGCCUCAUAGAGGGGAAUAGCCUUCCGAAAGGAAGAUUAAUACCGCAUAAGAUUGCAGUAUCGCAUGAUACAGCAAUUAAAGGAGCAAUCCGCUAUGAGAUGGACCCGCGUCGCAUUAGCUAGUUGGUGAGGUAACGGCUCACCAAGGCGACGAUGCGUAGCCGACCUGAGAGGGUGAUCGGCCACAUUGGGACUGAGACACGGCCCAGACACCUACGGGUGCAG
RNAcentral lists this ribosomal RNA (323 nucleotides) under uncultured Bacillota bacterium. Its description in RNAcentral is "bacterial SSU rRNA". It matches the Rfam family "Bacterial small subunit ribosomal RNA", at positions 28 to 351 of the family's 1533-position model. Lineage: Bacteria; Bacillati; Bacillota. The record is from RNAcentral.